Molecule: ribosomal RNA, 443 nt
Filed under: uncultured bacterium
Lineage: Bacteria
Description: partial 16S ribosomal RNA
Rfam family: Bacterial small subunit ribosomal RNA
Source: RNAcentral
CCUACGGGAGGCUGCAGUGGGGGAUAUUGGACAAUGGGGGGAACCCUGAUCCAGCGACGCCGCGUGAGUGAAGAAGUAUUUCGGUAUGUAAAGCUCUGUCAGCAGGGAAGAAAGAAAUGACGGUACCUGACCAAGAAGCCCCGGCUACCUACGUGCCAGCAGCCGCGGUAAUACGGAGGGGGCAAGCGUUAUCCGGAAUUACGGGGUGUAAAGGGAGCGUGGACGGUUAAGUAAGUCUGGAGUGAAAGGCCGGGGCCCAACCCCGGGACUGCUCUGGAAACUAUUGAACUUGAGUGCAGGAGAGGUAAGCGGAAUUCCUAGUGUAGCGGUGAAAUGCGUAGAUAUUAGGAGGAACACCAGUGGCGAAGGCGGCUUACUGGACUGUAACUGACGUUGAGGCUCGAAAGCGUGGGGAGCAAACAGGAUUAGAUACCCCAGUAGUC